AAAAUAUUUACUUUUCAUUGUUCUGCCAUACUGUGAAAGAUCUGAAGAUGAGCCCAGUGACAGACUGUAUUUCUGUUGCCCAAGACCAGACUUGCUGCAUUUGGAGAAGUCCAUUGCCCAGUGAUUGGCCAUAGAAUGAUGACUUAUGAAAGACAAAAGUGGUAGAUUUAAUUUGAUUUGGAUCAACCAUUAAAAAUUCCAGUUAGUUUACUACAUGUUCUUGCCUCCCUUGAUUUUAAGGGCUGAAGUCAUAAAACCUAGAUCUUCUGUGGUACAGUGGAACUUGGAAACAUUUUUAAUUAUCUAUUCUCAAGGAUUCAAAGGUAAUCUUCUUCUCCCUCUUUAUGUUCUCUGUGUAUUCUUUCAUUUUUUCCCUCUCAAGUAUAAGAUUAGUUUCAAAUUAUCUUUAUGUCUCGGCCCUAUUUCAGAGUAA
This 433-nucleotide long non-coding RNA is filed under the name Phascolarctos cinereus (koala). RNAcentral describes it as "lncRNA (ENSPCIG00000036515.1)". Lineage: Eukaryota; Metazoa; Chordata; Mammalia; Diprotodontia; Phascolarctidae. The record is from RNAcentral.